UUGCUUCUCUUGAGAGCGGCGGACGGGUGAGUAAUGCCUAGGAAUCUGCCUGGUAGUGGGGGAUAACGUUCGGAAACGGACGCUAAUACCGCAUACGUCCUACGGGAGAAAGCAGGGGACCUUCGGGCCUUGCGCUAUCAGAUGAGCCUAGGUCGGAUUAGCUAGUUGGUGGGGUAAUGGCUCACCAAGGCGACGAUCCGUAACUGGUCUGAGAGGAUGAUCAGUCACACUGGAACUGAGACACGGUCCAGACUCCUACGGGAGGCAGCAGUGGGGAAUAUUGGACAAUGGGCGAAAGCCUGAUCCAGCCAUGCCGCGUGUGUGAAGAAGGUCUUCGGAUUGUAAAGCACUUUAAGUUGGGAGGAAGGGUUGUAGAUUAAUACUCUGCAAUUUUGACGUUACCGACAGAAUAAGCACCGGCUAACUCUGUGCCAGCAGCCGCGGUAAUACAGAGGGUGCAAGCGUUAAUCGGAAUUACUGGGCGUAAAGCGCGCGUAGGUGGUUUGUUAAGUUGGAUGUGAAAUCCCCGGGCUCAACCUGGGAACUGCAUUCAAAACUGACUGACUAGAGUAUGGUAGAGGGUGGUGGAAUUUCCUGUGUAGCGGUGAAAUGCGUAGAUAUAGGAAGGAACACCAGUGGCGAAAGCGACCACCUGGACUAAUACUGACACUGAGUGCGAAAGCGUGGGGGAGCAAACAGGAUU
Molecule: ribosomal RNA, 703 nt
Filed under: uncultured bacterium
Lineage: Bacteria
Description: bacterial SSU rRNA
Rfam family: Bacterial small subunit ribosomal RNA
Source: RNAcentral